UUCCUUCUUUAACUGAUGCGGCAAACUAUAAAUUCAACAUGCAAAAAAAGAAGAGGAGGAGGAAGGGGGAGAGGAAGAGAAAGAAGAAGAAGAGGAAGAGGAAGAAGAAGAAAACAGUACCACUACCACACUGCAGUGACUUUUGCUAACUUGGAAGAGAAAGUUUGGAGAGACUGAAACCACAGCUCUGUCCCAACUUAUAUGAUGCCAGGGGUUGAACUUGGAGUCUCACGCAUACAAGUGCUGCCCUCUUAACAAUGAGUCACCUCCUUGACUGUUGUUCUAAAUUCCACUUUGAUGGUAUUUAUACAAGAGCAUAUAAUCUUGCAUGAAAAACUCAAGAUUGCUAAUGCCUUUGGAAUAAAGUUUAAGGGUUUUAACUAUU
Molecule: long non-coding RNA, 385 nt
Organism: Erinaceus europaeus (western European hedgehog)
Lineage: Eukaryota; Metazoa; Chordata; Mammalia; Eulipotyphla; Erinaceidae
Exons: 2
Source: RefSeq, a predicted model, not a curated record